AGCGAACGCUGGCGGCGUGCUUAACACAUGCAAGUCGAGUGCGCAGUUUUCUGUAGCAAUACAGGAAACCGGCGCACGGCGCACGGGUGCGUAACACGUGGGUAACCUGCCCUCCAAAGGGGGGAUAACCCCGCGAAAGCGGGGCUAAUACCGCAUGACAUUCCAGAGACACAGGUUUUUGGAAUCAAAGCUCGAAAGGGCGUUGGAGGAGGGGCCCGGCGGCCGAUUAGCUUGUUGGCGAGGUAAUGGCUCACCAAGGCUUUGAUCGGUAGCCGGUCUGAGAGGAUGGCCGGCCACACUGGAACUGAGACACGGUCCAGACUCCUACGGGGAGGCAGCAGUGGGGAAUCUUGCGCAAUGGGCGAAAGCCUGACGCAGCGACGCCGCGUGGGGGAUGAAGCUUCUCGGAGU
Molecule: ribosomal RNA, 411 nt
Filed under: uncultured bacterium
Lineage: Bacteria
Description: bacterial SSU rRNA
Rfam family: Bacterial small subunit ribosomal RNA
Source: RNAcentral